This is a long non-coding RNA of Quercus lobata, 391 nucleotides long. RefSeq lists it as uncharacterized. The record is from RefSeq and is a predicted model, not a curated record. The transcript has 3 exons. Lineage: Eukaryota; Viridiplantae; Streptophyta; Magnoliopsida; Fagales; Fagaceae.
UUAGGCAUGGGCCAAAUUUCAUCAUCCUUUUCCACCAGAGGCAGAGUAGAUAGGGGAACAACAUGACUGCCUAGCUUAGGUUUUAAGGAAGAUACCGGAUGAGUUUUGGAGUGAAAUGGCAAGAACAGCUUAUAAGCCACUUCUCCUUCCAGUUGCUAGUGAUUUUUGCUUAUAGGGCACUAAUCUAAGGAACACCCAAUCACCAGCAACACACUCUAUGCUGCUAUAAUAUUAUGCUUAAGAUAUUCUGAGUGGCCGCCAAUUUAAUAAGUGCAAAAUCAAUUCGAAGAACUGAGCUUGUAAAGUGAAGAUUAUUUUCUUGGUUUUGUGGCCAUAUAAGGUACAAAAUCAAUUCGAAGAACUGUGCUUGUAAAGUGAAGGUUAUUUUCUU